GUGUGUGUGUGUGUCUGUGUUUGCCACCGUCACCUGGCCUGAUGCCUCUGCUGUUGCCACUGCCUAGGUCCUUAGUCAGAGACUCGUCGUUUCGCAGCUCUCACCUCUCCAUAGCAACCGGAGGUGUGCAGACUCAGAGUGGACUUCCCGGGCUUGGCGGUACAGUUCGUCAUGUGCUCUGUGGACUCACACAAAUCUGUAAGGACUAAAUGAGGAAAUGCCCCAUGAGGAGUUAUCUCCUUCAGAGUCUCGGUGCAUCAGAUGAUGGCCAAAAACAACCACGCUGUUUGGAAGGUGAUGUAUCGGCUGCAUGUGGAGCUCUGUGUCUGUAUCAGUAUAAGCACUGGUUCACCUGUGCCAGAUGUUCAACAUAAUAGACUCAGUGCUGCUGGAUUUCUGCUCUGUCAUGGAAAUGGGAGCAUGACUGGGACAAUUACAGGAAGCCUGGGGCACCCAGCCUCGCUAACCUUUACAUAAAAACACCUCUUAUUAUAAGAGGAUGAAAACUUUAUUUUCAGAGGCUCUUUGAUGGGGUGUCAUGUUGCAGCACAGUUGUCCACCCUUCCUGCAGCGCCAGCAGCCGACAAACUCUCAGCUCCUCUGGAAUCUUUUGGAUGACACUGGAAACGGGUUGAUGAGUCUAAAAACGGACAUCGGCCUCCAACAGUUAUUGUCUCCCGUCCGUCACUCCCUUUUUCCCCUCCCACAGCUGUUUCGCAUGAGGACCGUGACAGCUGGUUGCAGGGAACGUGCUCGUUACCGAGGUCAGGGUGGCAAGGAAACACACUGAACUAUGGGAAGUCCCAGGGUGGGAGGCACUGGAAAUGAUGAGGAGCGGCUGAUGGUAAAGUGUAUCCGUCAGCUGUUACAUCAGUAAAGAUUCAUGAUCAUCUCCCUUUUGUUUCUGUUUCUGUUUUGUAUAUCUCAAAAGAAAACCAGGCAUUUAAUCACAGCCCCUAAAACUGAGUCCUUGAGUCGUGAGUCUUUGUUCAGUCUGUAUUGUCGUGUCAAUUACUCUUUUUUGUAAAGCACUUUAACUCUAUUAAAAUUACAAUAUAAAUGUUUUA
Molecule: long non-coding RNA, 1067 nt
Organism: Seriola aureovittata
Lineage: Eukaryota; Metazoa; Chordata; Actinopteri; Carangiformes; Carangidae
Exons: 3
Source: RefSeq, a predicted model, not a curated record